Armigeres subalbatus is the source of this 2341-nucleotide RNA transcript. It is a transcript of the gene named vacuolar protein sorting-associated protein 45-like, with no coding region annotated. Lineage: Eukaryota; Metazoa; Arthropoda; Insecta; Diptera; Culicidae. The record is from RefSeq and is a predicted model, not a curated record. The transcript has 4 exons.
GGUCGUGUCGUCAUUUUUUUAGAUUUUUUACAGUACGAAGCAAAUCGAAUUCACUAAUCAUAAAAGAAACAUUUUCAAUGCUUAAAAAUUGAACGAUUUGCAUAAAACUUGUUAAGUUUCAUGUUUUUGAUGCAAUUACAAAUAUUGGAAAAAUGAAUGUAAUUCGUGCUGUACAGCUGUACCUGGAGAAAAUGGUGGCAGAUGCUGGUCCCGGAAUGAAAAUGCUGAUGAUGGAUCGCGAAACCACCAGCGUAGUUUCGAUGGCUUUCUCGCAGUCGGAGAUGCUUCAGAAGGAAGUGUUCCUGUUCGAAAGGAUCGAUUCCGGGCGCUCGAAUGAGCGGCUCAAAUAUUUGAAAUGUAUUGUUUUUAUACGACCAACAAGGGACAACAUUCUGCGCCUGCAAAGUGAACUCAAGAGUCCGAAAUAUGGCUGUUAUUAUAUUAAUUUCAGCAAUAUUAUUCCUCGUACUGAUAUCAAAACCCUCGCAGAAAGUGACGAAAGCGAGUCCGUUCGUGAAGUGAAAGAGAUCUAUGCUGACUAUCUGCCGGUGAAUCCCAAUCUUUUCUCUCUCAACAUUCCAACAUGCCUACAGUCUCUCUCCUGGAAUCCGGAAGCCCUUGAACGUACUGUUCAAGGCGUGAUCAGUGUGUUACUGUCGUUCAAGUUUCGACCUGCCAUCCGCUACAAAUCAAGCUCCAGUGUGGCGCAAACUCUUGCCAAAAAGAUACACGAUACGAUUAACAAGGAAACAGCUCUGUUCAGUUUCCGACCACCCGAAGAUGGGUCUCCGCCUCCGAUGCUGUUGAUUCUGGAUCGCCGAGACGAUCCCAUUACACCGUUGCUUAACCAGUGGACCUAUCAAGCGAUGGUACAUGAGCUACUGACCAUCAACAAACAGCGAGUAGAUCUUUCUGGCGUCCAAAGCGUACCCAAAGAUUUGAAAGAGAUCGUUUUGUCCACCGAGCAGGAUGAGUUCUACGCCGCUAAUCUAUACUCCAAUUUUGGCGAAAUUGCCACUACUAUCAAGGGGCUGAUGGACGAGUUCCAGAAGAAGGUGCACGAUCAGAAAAAGAUCGAGAGUAUAAGUGAUAUGAAGAACUUUGUGGAAACAUAUCCACAGUUCAAGAAGAUGUCCGGUACGGUAUCAAAGCAUUUGGUGCUCAUUAGCGAGCUGUCGCUGCAGGUCAGCAAGCAGCAGCUGUUUGAAAUAUCCGAGCUUGAGCAAGAGAUUGCGUGCCGAGCGGAUCACUCGACACAGUUGCAACGGGUAAAGAGACUCGUUAGCGACGAAAAAAUAAAUUUACAAAACGCUCUUCGUCUUAUUUUGCUUUAUUCUAUGCGUUACGAGCGGCAUGCUAAUUGCGGAACAUCUGGAUUGCUGAAGAUGUUACAAGACCGUGGAGGGCGGGCGUAUAUCGCCCCUCGAAUGUUAGAGUACAUCAGUACCAGCGCUCGGCAGGAGCUAUUCAACACUGUGAAGAUCACGGAUGCCGUCAAAUUGACCCGUAAUCUAAUAAAGGGUCUUAAGGGAGUUGAGAAUGUCUACACCCAGCAUAACUGCGUCCUUAAGGAGGUACUGGAGGAGGUAACAAGGGGUCGGCCGUUGGACGCAGCUUACCCGAUAAUGGGCAACGAGCUGCCCUUCCGGAGGCCUCCACAGGAAAUUGUGGUGUUCGUGAUCGGAGGGACAACCUACGAGGAAGCGUUGGCAGUUCAUCGGUACAACCAGGACGGAUACAAAAUCAUUCUAGGUGGGACAACUGUUCACAAUGGGGACAGUUUUAUCGAGGAGAUUAUGGCGGCAACCGCAGGGGUGCCGCUCAAGCAUUCCCGUUCGCUACAGCAAUUCCAUCAUGCACCACCUGGAGACGCUUAAAAGGAUGCCGAUUCAGGUAGCGGGUGAUGUCGCUUUGUUCCAACAGAAUAAACCUUUCCCUCUUUAUCCGCUUUGACGGCAGCAUCAUCCGUUUGCAAAACUUGCAGCUGCGGAUCUUCCUCCGCUUCUGAGUGAAUGCAUUGCAGGAGGUCUAGCUCCUCCAAAUGAACUUCGAUCCGGAAGCACCAAUUGUUAAAGUUGGUUCCAUCGAAAAGAUACACCUUUCUUUCCUCUUCCAUCUUAGUUCAACGGCAACGGAAUACAGUGUCACCGAAUGCAAAAUCUGCCACUCGCGGCGCGGAAAAACUCGAGUAAAAACUUUAUUCCGGAAAACUUUUUGCGACGUUUUUUUAAUGCACAAACGCGUACACAACCGAACAAUAAAAACGAGGCUUGAGCUGUGCUGGGCUCAUAACCUGUAAAAGCGAAGACUGUGAUAUUACACGAGACGAGACAAUAUACGU